CAUGCAAGUCGAGCGGUAACAGGCAUUUUGAUUCAGCUUGCUGAAUCUCGCGCUGACGAGCGGCGGACGGGUGAGUAACGCGUAGGAAUCUACCUAGUAGAAGGGGAUAGCCCGGGGAAACUCGGAUUAAUACCGUAUACGUCCUUAGGGAGAAAGAGGGCUUAGCUUUGAUGCUCUCGCUAUUAGAUGAGCCUGCGUAAGAUUAGCUUGUUGGUGAGGUAAAGGCUCACCAAGGCUACGAUCUUUAGCUGGUCUGAGAGGACGAUCAGCCACAUUGGGACUGAGACACGGCCCAGACUCCUACGGGAGGCAGCAGUGGGGAAUAUUGGACAAUGGGCGCAAGCCUGAUCCAGCCAUACCGCGUGUGUGAAGAAGGCCUUCGGGUUGUAAAGCACUUUAAGUAAGGAAGAAAAGUAUAUUGUUAAUACCAAUGUACCGUGACAUUACUUACAGAAUAAGGACCGGCUAAUUCCGUGCCAGCAGCCGCGGUAAUACGGAAGGUCCAAGCGUUAAUCGGAAUUACUGGGGCGUAAAGCGCGCGUAGGUGGUUUAUUAAGUUGGGUGUGAAAGCCCGGGCUCAACCUGGGAACUGCAUCCAAA
Molecule: ribosomal RNA, 600 nt
Filed under: uncultured Gammaproteobacteria bacterium
Lineage: Bacteria; Pseudomonadati; Pseudomonadota; Gammaproteobacteria
Description: bacterial SSU rRNA
Rfam family: Bacterial small subunit ribosomal RNA
Source: RNAcentral